Mustela erminea (ermine) is the source of this 1115-nucleotide long non-coding RNA. RefSeq lists it as uncharacterized. NCBI's taxonomy places the organism in Eukaryota, Metazoa, Chordata, Mammalia, Carnivora, Mustelidae. The transcript is spliced from 4 exons. The record is from RefSeq and is a predicted model, not a curated record.
GCCUCUGGAGGAAAAGUCUUUUUCUUUAAAAGUGGGUGCUUUUGGUGGAAGCUUCCUGAGCUAUCAAGCCAUUUAUGAAAUUGGAGCCAGGGGUCAAAUUUUUCUUUUUAAAGAUGAUAAGUACCGUUUAAUUAGUGAUUUAAAACCACAGCCAAACUAUCCCAAGAGCACACAUUGUCUGGGCUUCCCUGAAGCCCAGGAAAAGAUUGCUGCUGCUGUUUUUAAUCCACCAAUCUACUUUUCUCUUUGUGCAUAAACAUAUGGAAGGUGAGAUGACAGGAGAAAAUUUGUGGACCUUUGUUAUUCCAUCUUGAUUACUGAGAAAUUUCCAGGAAUUGGACCUACUCCAAAGGAUGCAACUGUUUCUUCCAAGGAUGUAAUCAACUUGAAUAAGACAAGCCAUCCAACCACAUUACCGGAAGUUGGGAAGAAAUACUGGGUUUGGCUAUUGGGAAUGGUGUGAAGAAACAGAAAGCCAACUGCUCCGAGUCGAAGUGGACAGAGAUCAUCCCAAUGUAGAGAUUCUUAUAAAAAUAUCCCCCAGCUACAUACACCAAACAGAGCACACAGGCCAGGUUCCUACAAAGAGAAAAUUCUUUGAAUCAGAACAAGGAUGGCAAGGAAGGCCAGAAGCAAACAAGCACGUUCCUAGCUAUCAUUGCUGAGUUUAUGGUUCUUUUUUUUUUUUGGACUUUCUUGAGUUUAUGGCCCUUGAAACACAUCUGCUACCAAAGGCUGCAGAGAGUAAACACAUUAUGUCGAGGAAGUACCAGAUCACUGAGGCCGGCGCUCGACCACAAGUUACUUGAGAUGCAGUUGACAAGCAACGUUGUGUAAGUUGAAGGUGGAGGAGGGGUUGGCUUGAUACACCUUGCAAAAUGUUUACCUCAGUAAGAUGAGGACAGAGGUUCAAAGAGGUUGAGCAACUGCCCAGGAUGGAACUGUAGGCAAGUGACAGAGCCGGGAUCACAAGCCAGGUCUUCAGACGCCUGGCCCACGGCUCAACCCAUCACCUCUCCCACCAACCUGAGGUCUCAACCCAAGAGCCACAUGGAACGCUGCUCCGGGGCCAAGAGCUGGCUUAACUCUCCGCAGAGUACAUGCUAUCAGAUAAA